AUGAAGAACGUAGCAAAAUGCGAUACUUGGUGUGAAUUGCAGAAUCCCGUGAACCAUCGAGUUUUUGAACGCAAGUUGCGCCCGAAGCCUUUUGGCCGAGGGCACGUCUGCCUGGGCGUCACGCAUCGCGUCGCCCCCCACAACUCUCCGUAAAGGGAACUUGUGUUUUGGGGGCGGAUAUUGGUCUCCCGUGCUCAUGGCGUGGUUGGCCGAAAUAGGAGUCCCUCCGGUGGACGCACGAACUAGUGGUGGUCGUAAAAACCCUCGUCUUUUGUUUCGUGCCGUUAGUCGCGAGGGAAACUCUUUAAAAACCCAAAUGUGUCGUCUCUUGACGGCGCUUCGACCGCGACCCCAGGUCAGGCGGGACUACCCGCUGAGUUUAAGCAUAUCAAUAAGCGGAGGA
Molecule: unclassified non-coding RNA, 403 nt
Filed under: soil metagenome
Description: partial contains 5.8S ribosomal RNA, internal transcribed spacer 2, and large subunit ribosomal RNA
Rfam family: 5.8S ribosomal RNA (bases 1-121)
Source: RNAcentral